CAUGGAGAGGCAGAGCAGGGGGCAGCAGAAGUCUGGGUAAAGAAGGUGCAGGGGAAGUUACCAUAGCAUUGCCCAAAGCAUGCAAAUAGAGAUCCCCCUUCUCCGAAAGCUAAUGAUCUGCUUGUGCCCCAGAGGCAGGGCCCAGCACACCAGGUGGGGGACCCUUCCCUGUCAACACCACUGAGAGGCCAGCGGAGUGAAGGACAGAGUGGAGAAGCAACAGUUAUCCUGUAGAACACAAAGCUGUAUUUGAGCCUUGGCUUGCAGAGCUGCUUCAGAGGCUUGAAGAAUGGCUGAUUUGAAGAUAUCCCACUUUUCCAGGAUGUUAUUCGGUGAGGAGGCAAUACUAUCCAUUUUUCCUCCAUGUUUUCCCUCUGUUUUUCUGGAUGAAAUGGGUGUCUCAGCUUUGUGAUGUUCAAUUUUGGUUUAAUCCAUUCAGCAUUGUUUGCUUACCAUGGACACUGAAAAUGGCUCUGAUCAUUCUGUGGUAAAUCCAACAGUUAGCCCCUCGCAUUGCUCUGGUGAUUUUGACGUCCUUU
Long non-coding RNA from Mauremys reevesii (Reeves's turtle), 539 nucleotides. RefSeq lists it as uncharacterized. The record is from RefSeq and is a predicted model, not a curated record. Lineage: Eukaryota; Metazoa; Chordata; Testudines; Geoemydidae. The transcript is spliced from 3 exons.